RNAcentral lists this long non-coding RNA (303 nucleotides) under Elaeis guineensis (African oil palm). Its description in RNAcentral is "long non-coding RNA (EGUI_LNC028537)". Lineage: Eukaryota; Viridiplantae; Streptophyta; Magnoliopsida; Arecales; Arecaceae. The record is from RNAcentral.
AUCAUACUAACUCAUCCAGUGUGGAGACGAGAAAGAGUCAAUCAUUGUGCACCUAGUCGGUUGGGAAGUGAGGAAAAAGGUUAGUUGGCUAAGCGACGAGGAUCUACCCCAACAGAAGGUUUAGUAAAUGAGAACAUAGAAGAGGGAGAAGGCCCAGUAAGGGGCCUCUAGAAGAAGUGCAAGAAGAUAGUGGUAGUUACAGUUAUUUAUCCUUGAGUGACUUCAAGAAAAGUGAGGAGGAGAAUGAUGAUCUCUUCGAGGAUUACAUUGAUAACUCUAUUACUGAGACACAGGUACACAAGC